AAUGAACGUUGGCGGCGUGGAUUAGGCAUGCAAGUCGAGCGCGAUACCUCCUUCGGGAGGUGGAAAGCGGCGAAAGGGAGAGGAACACGUGGAUUAUCUACCCCUGGACCCAGGAUAGCUGCGGGAAACUGCAGGUAAUACUGGAUAACGUCUCCGGACCAAAGGUGUGAUUCCGUCCAGGGAGGAGUUCGCGUCCUAUUAGCUAGUUGGUAGGGUAGCGGCCUACCAAGGCGAUGANGGGUACCGGGUGUGAGAGCAUGGCCCGGCUCACUGGGACUGAGACACUGCCCAGACACCUACGGGUGGCUGCAGUCGAGGAUCUUCGGCAAUGGGCGCAAGCCUGACCGAGCGACGCCGCGUGCGGGAUGAAGGCCUCGG
RNAcentral lists this ribosomal RNA (378 nucleotides) under uncultured bacterium. RNAcentral's name for it is "bacterial SSU rRNA". It matches the Rfam family "Bacterial small subunit ribosomal RNA", at positions 28 to 420 of the family's 1533-position model. The record is from RNAcentral.